AUGCCAGGUUUCCAAAGUCAUACAGAUGGGUGCUUGCACACAUGUCUGUAUGACCUUGGAAACCGCCCCGAUAUGAGGAUAAAAGCACUGCGAAGCAGUGCGAUAUCCGAAUGGCGGGUGUAGAUUACGGGAGCACGAAGUGCGGAGCAAUCUGC
RNAcentral lists this small RNA (155 nucleotides) under uncultured Lachnoclostridium sp. RNAcentral describes it as "Clostridiales-1 RNA". It matches the Rfam family "Clostridiales-1 RNA". Lineage: Bacteria; Bacillati; Bacillota; Clostridia; Lachnospirales; Lachnospiraceae. The record is from RNAcentral.